GUGUCGUAUGAAAGGAAAGAAGGUUAGCACUCCCCUUGACAAGGAUGAGAGAGGUCCUUGAGCUUUACAACACACAUAUGGUUAAGGCAUUGCCACAGCCACCUACUUUGUAGCAUCUAACCACUGUUUUUG
Molecule: small nuclear RNA, 132 nt
Organism: Jaculus jaculus (lesser Egyptian jerboa)
Lineage: Eukaryota; Metazoa; Chordata; Mammalia; Rodentia; Dipodidae
Source: Ensembl